GACGAACGCUGGCGGCGUGCCUAAUACAUGCAAGUAGAACGCACAGUUUAUACCGUAGCUUGCUACACCAUAGACUGUGAGUUGCGAACGGGUGAGUAACGCGUAGGUAACCUGCCUGGUAGCGGGGGAUAACUAUUGGAAACGAUAGCUAAUACCGCAUAAUAUUAAUUAUUGCAUGAUAAUUAAUUGAAAGGUGCAAUUGCACCACUACCAGAUGGACCUGCGUUGUAUUAGCUAGUAGGUGAGGUAACGGCUCACCUAGGCGACGAUACAUAGCCGACCUGAGAGGGUGAUCGGCCACACUGGGACUGAGACACGGCCCAGACUCCUACGGGAGGCAGCAGUAGGGAAUCUUCGGCAAUGGACGAAAGUCUGACCGAGCAACGCCGCGUGAGUGAAGAAGGUUUUCGGAUCGUAAAGCUCUGUUGUAAGAGAAGAACGGGUGUGAGAGUGGAAAGUUCACACUGUGACGGUAUCUUACCAGAAAGGGACGGCUAACUACG
This 503-nucleotide ribosomal RNA is filed under the name uncultured bacterium. RNAcentral's name for it is "partial 16S ribosomal RNA". It matches the Rfam family "Bacterial small subunit ribosomal RNA", at positions 28 to 505 of the family's 1533-position model. The record is from RNAcentral.